GAUGAACGCUGGCGGCGUGCUUAACACAUGCAAGUCGAGCGGAAGCAAAGACACGGAAUUUUUCGGAAGGAAGUGUGUUAGCUUUAGCGGCGGACGGGUGAGUAACGCGUGGAUAACCUGCCUCAUACAGGGGGAUAACAGUUAGAAAUGACUGCUAAUACCGCAUAAGCACACGGGAGCGCAUGCUUCCGGGUGAAAAGCUCCGGCGGUAUGAGAUGGAUCCGCGUCUGAUUAGCUGGUUGGCGGGGUAACGGCCCACCAAGGCGACGAUCAGUAGCCGACCUGAGAGGGUGGCCGGCCACAUUGGGACUGAGACACGGCCCAA
Molecule: ribosomal RNA, 325 nt
Filed under: uncultured bacterium
Lineage: Bacteria
Description: bacterial SSU rRNA
Rfam family: Bacterial small subunit ribosomal RNA
Source: RNAcentral